This 574-nucleotide transfer RNA is filed under the name Microcoleus vaginatus SL1. RNAcentral's name for it is "partial 16S-23S ribosomal RNA intergenic spacer". The stretch from base 295 to 367 matches the Rfam family "tRNA". The record is from RNAcentral. Lineage: Bacteria; Bacillati; Cyanobacteriota; Cyanophyceae; Oscillatoriales; Microcoleaceae.
UAGGGAGACCAUCUGAUAGUCGACCGAACCUAAACAAUAGGUCGUUGUCAGUCAUCCCUGGUCGUUCGAGGAAUAGAUGUCAAAGCUUUCAAACUGUUAACUGGUUCGGAACUCGCGGGCUAUUAGCUCAGUUGGUUAGAGCGCACCCCUGAUAAGGGUGAGGUCCCUGGUUCAAAUCCAGGAUGGCCCACCUGGAAAAAAGUGAUGAAUUGUCAGUAAUGAGUAAUGGAUAAUCAAGGAUUAAUUCAGGAUUAAUUCAGGACUCAUACAAUCAAAAUCAGAACUUACAAGUGUGGGGGUAUAGCUCAGUUGGUAGAGCGCCUGCCUUGCACGCAGGAAGUCAGCGGUUCGAGUCCGCUUACCUCCACUCUCACUAACUAUUACCACCGCCAAAAAAACCCAAAAAAAUAGAAAUCAGCACCCAGACUAACUUGGUCAACAAAGAAGUCGGAAUGCUGGAGUCUAGAACUCUAGUCAGAACCUUGAAAACUGCAUAGAAAUUAAGUCAUCAAAGCGUGUCAGUCAUCCGAGAAAUCGGAGUAUCUGACCAGCGACCACCAUGAAAAAAUCAAGU